This 77-nucleotide small RNA is filed under the name Flavobacterium lacus. RNAcentral's name for it is "Flavo-1 RNA". The record is from RNAcentral. Lineage: Bacteria; Pseudomonadati; Bacteroidota; Flavobacteriia; Flavobacteriales; Flavobacteriaceae.
AAGGAGCCUUGGAGGAAGCAGGAAUGUUAACGCGUUUGCAAACCGCUUUAAAAAUUGAAGCGAUUGCAGAACCUUAC